AUACGGGGGGUGCAAGCGUUAAUCGGAAUUACUGGGCGUAAAGCGCGCGUAGGCGGUUUGCUCAGUCGGAUGUGAAAGCCCAGGGCUCAACCUUGGAACUGCAUACGAUACUGGCAAACUAGAGUGUGAGAGAGGAUAGUGGAAAUUCCGGUGUAGCGGUGAAAUGCGUAGAUAUCGGAAGGAACAUCAGUGGCGAAGGCGACUGUCUGGCUCAACACUGACGCUGAGGUGCGAAAGCGUGGGUAGCAAACAGGAUUAGAAACCCUAGUAGUCC
This 274-nucleotide ribosomal RNA is filed under the name uncultured bacterium. Its description in RNAcentral is "partial 16S ribosomal RNA". It matches the Rfam family "Bacterial small subunit ribosomal RNA", at positions 523 to 796 of the family's 1533-position model. The record is from RNAcentral.